Molecule: ribosomal RNA, 2905 nt
Filed under: Yersinia enterocolitica
Lineage: Bacteria; Pseudomonadati; Pseudomonadota; Gammaproteobacteria; Enterobacterales; Yersiniaceae
Description: bacterial LSU rRNA
Rfam family: Bacterial large subunit ribosomal RNA
Source: RNAcentral
UUAAGCGACUAAGCGUACACGGUGGAUGCCUAGGCAGUCAGAGGCGAUGAAGGGCGUGCUAAUCUGCGAAAAGCGUCGGUAAGGUGAUAUGAACCGUUAUAACCGACGAUACCCGAAUGGGGAAACCCAGUGCAAUUCGUUGCACUAUUGCAUGGUGAAUACAUAGCCAUGCAAGGCGAACCGGGGGAACUGAAACAUCUAAGUACCCCGAGGAAAAGAAAUCAACCGAGAUUCCCCCAGUAGCGGCGAGCGAACGGGGAGGAGCCCAGAACCUGAAUCAGCGUAUGUGUUAGUGGAAGCGUCUGGAAAGUCGCACGGUACAGGGUGAUAGUCCCGUACACAAAAAUGCAUAUGUUGUGAGUUCGAUGAGUAGGGCGGGACACGUGACAUCCUGUCUGAAUAUGGGGGGACCAUCCUCCAAGGCUAAAUACUCCUGACUGACCGAUAGUGAACCAGUACCGUGAGGGAAAGGCGAAAAGAACCCCGGCGAGGGGAGUGAAAUAGAACCUGAAACCGUGUACGUACAAGCAGUGGGAGCACCUUCGUGGUGUGACUGCGUACCUUUUGUAUAAUGGGUCAGCGACUUAUAUUUUGUAGCAAGGUUAACCGAAUAGGGGAGCCGUAGGGAAACCGAGUCUUAACUGGGCGAAUAGUUGCAAGGUAUAGACCCGAAACCCGGUGAUCUAGCCAUGGGCAGGUUGAAGGUUGGGUAACACUAACUGGAGGACCGAACCGACUAAUGUUGAAAAAUUAGCGGAUGACUUGUGGCUGGGGGUGAAAGGCCAAUCAAACCGGGAGAUAGCUGGUUCUCCCCGAAAGCUAUUUAGGUAGCGCCUCGUGAACUCAUCUUCGGGGGUAGAGCACUGUUUCGGCUAGGGGGUCAUCCCGACUUACCAAACCGAUGCAAACUCCGAAUACCGAAGAAUGUUAUCACGGGAGACACACGGCGGGUGCUAACGUCCGUCGUGAAGAGGGAAACAACCCAGACCGCCAGCUAAGGUCCCAAAGUCAUGGUUAAGUGGGAAACGAUGUGGGAAGGCAUAGACAGCCAGGAUGUUGGCUUAGAAGCAGCCAUCAUUUAAAGAAAGCGUAAUAGCUCACUGGUCGAGUCGGCCUGCGCGGAAGAUGUAACGGGGCUAAACCAUGCACCGAAGCUGCGGCAGCGACGCUUAGGCGUUGUUGGGUAGGGGAGCGUUCUGUAAGCCGUUGAAGGUGACCUGUGAGGGUUGCUGGAGGUAUCAGAAGUGCGAAUGCUGACAUAAGUAACGAUAAUGCGGGUGAAAAACCCGCACGCCGGAAGACCAAGGGUUCCUGUCCAACGUUAAUCGGGGCAGGGUGAGUCGACCCCUAAGGCGAGGCUGAAAAGCGUAGUCGAUGGGAAACAGGUUAAUAUUCCUGUACUUGGUGUUACUGCGAAGGGGGGACGGAGAAGGCUAGGCUAGCCGGGCGACGGUUGUCCCGGUUUAAGCAUGUAGGCGGAGUGACUUGGUAAAUCCGGUUGCUUAUCAACGCUGAGGUGUGAUGACGAGUCACUACGGUGAUGAAGUAGUUGAUGCCAAGCUUCCAGGAAAAGCCUCUAAGCAUCAGGUAACAUUAAAUCGUACCCCAAACCGACACAGGUGGUCAGGUAGAGAAUACUCAGGCGCUUGAGAGAACUCGGGUGAAGGAACUAGGCAAAAUGGUGCCGUAACUUCGGGAGAAGGCACGCUGGCAUUAGGUAAAGAGACUUGCUCUCGGCGCCGAAGCCAGUCGCAGAUACCAGCUGGCUGCAACUGUUUAAUAAAAACACAGCACUGUGCAAACACGAAAGUGGACGUAUACGGUGUGACGCCUGCCCGGUGCUGGAAGGUUAAUUGAUGGGGUCAGCCGCAAGGCGAAGCUCUUGAUCGAAGCCCCAGUAAACGGCGGCCGUAACUAUAACGGUCCUAAGGUAGCGAAAUUCCUUGUCGGGUAAGUUCCGACCUGCACGAAUGGCGUAAUGAUGGCCAGGCUGUCUCCACCCGAGACUCAGUGAAAUUGAACUCGCUGUGAAGAUGCAGUGUACCCGCGGCAAGACGGAAAGACCCCGUGAACCUUUACUAUAGCUUGACACUGAACAUUGAGCCUUGAUGUGUAGGAUAGGUGGGAGGCAUUGAAGUGUGGACGCCAGUCUGCAUGGAGCCAACCUUGAAAUACCACCCUUUAAUGUUUGAUGUUCUAACUCGGCCCCAUAAUCUGGGGUGAGGACAGUGUCUGGUGGGUAGUUUGACUGGGGCGGUCUCCUCCCAAAGAGUAACGGAGGAGCACGAAGGUUAGCUAAUCACGGUCGGACAUCGUGAGGUUAGUGCAAAGGCAUAAGCUAGCUUGACUGCGAGAGUGACGGCUCGAGCAGGUACGAAAGUAGGUCUUAGUGAUCCGGUGGUUCUGAAUGGAAGGGCCAUCGCUCAACGGAUAAAAGGUACUCCGGGGAUAACAGGCUGAUACCGCCCAAGAGUUCAUAUCGACGGCGGUGUUUGGCACCUCGAUGUCGGCUCAUCACAUCCUGGGGCUGAAGUAGGUCCCAAGGGUAUGGCUGUUCGCCAUUUAAAGUGGUACGCGAGCUGGGUUUAGAACGUCGUGAGACAGUUCGGUCCCUAUCUGCCGUGGGCGUUGGAAGAUUGAGAGGGGCUGCUCCUAGUACGAGAGGACCGGAGUGGACGAAUCACUGGUGUUCGGGUUGUCAUGCCAAUGGCAUUGCCCGGUAGCUAAAUUCGGAAGAGAUAACCGCUGAAAGCAUCUAAGCGGGAAACUUGCCUCGAGAUGAGUCUUCCCUGGGGCUUUAAGCCCCCUGAAGGAACGUUAAAGACUAUGACGUUGAUAGGCUGGGUGUGUAAGUGCAGCGAUGCAUUGAGCUAACCAGUACUAAUGAUCCGUGAGGCUUAACCUU